UACGUAGGGUGCAAGCGUUAAUCGGAAUUACUGGGCGUAAAGCGUGCGCAGGCGGUGAUGUAAGACAGAUGUGAAAUCCCCGGGCUCAACCUGGGAACUGCAUUUGUGACUGCAUCGCUGGAGUGCGGCAGAGGGGGAUGGAAUUCCUGGUGUAGCAGUGAAAUGCGUAGAUAUCAGGAGGAAUACCGAUGGCGAAGGCAGGUCUCUGGGCUGACACUGACGCUCAUGCACGAAAGCGUGGGGAGCAAACAGG
This 253-nucleotide ribosomal RNA is filed under the name uncultured bacterium. RNAcentral's name for it is "partial 16S ribosomal RNA". It matches the Rfam family "Bacterial small subunit ribosomal RNA", at positions 524 to 776 of the family's 1533-position model. The record is from RNAcentral.